RNAcentral lists this ribosomal RNA (258 nucleotides) under uncultured bacterium. Its description in RNAcentral is "partial 16S ribosomal RNA". It matches the Rfam family "Bacterial small subunit ribosomal RNA", at positions 793 to 1050 of the family's 1533-position model. The record is from RNAcentral.
GUCCACGCCGUAAACGAUGUCUACUUGGAGGUUGUGGCCUUGAGCCGUGGCUUUCGGAGCUAACGCGUUAAGUAGACCGCCUGGGGAGUACGGUCGCAAGAUUAAAACUCAAAUGAAUUGACGGGGGCCCGCACAAGCGGUGGAGCAUGUGGUUUAAUUCGAUGCAACGCGAAGAACCUUACCUACUCUUGACAUCCUCAGAAGAGACUGGAGACAGUCUUGUGCCUUCGGGAACUGAGAGACAGGUGCUGCAUGGCU